UUAAGUUUAGAUUCUCUUUACCGUUAAAAAUAAUAAAUAAAUAAAAUUGUUAGAGCAUUCGCAGUAUGGCCUCGCUAAAGGCAAAAAACAGAGAAAAUUUUGGCAAAGCAGUCCAAAAAUCUCCACAUCAGUCUCGCCAGAAUAGCAUCAAAAUCUAGCGUUUGAAGAUCGGUGGACUAGGUUCGAGACGACUUGUUCAUUGACGGUGGUGGAUGGCUUUCCAUGGUGGCCGCUGAUUGGUGGGUUUGGUGGUGCUGCUGAAGUGUGGCUGUAAUUGAUCGACGAAGCCUUAGAUGGGCAGCCUGCAAUUUUCGAUGGGGUGCAUGGUGGCUAUUAGCUGCACUUGGGAGCAACAAUGGCCUGGGCAGAUUUGAGUUUGCUUUUUUUUUUUUUAUAAUUAUUUUUUAUUAUUUUUUUAUGAUCGAGAAAUCUGGGUUUGUUCUGGAAUAUAAUUAUGCAUGAUUAAUUUUGUUC
This is a long non-coding RNA of Quercus robur (English oak), 474 nucleotides long. RefSeq lists it as uncharacterized. The transcript is spliced from 2 exons. NCBI's taxonomy places the organism in Eukaryota, Viridiplantae, Streptophyta, Magnoliopsida, Fagales, Fagaceae. The record is from RefSeq and is a predicted model, not a curated record.